AGCGAACGCUGGCGGCAGGCUUAACACAUGCAAGUCGAGCGGGCAUCCUUGUGGUGUCAGCGGCAGACGGGUGAGUAACGCGUGGGAACGUGCCCUUCGGUUCGUAAUAACUCAGGGAAACUUGAGCUAAUACCGGAUACGUCCGAAAGCAGAAAGGUUUAUCUGCCGAAGGAUCGGCCCGCGUCUGAUUAGCUAGUUGGUGAGGUUAUGGCUCACCAUGGCGACGAUCAGUAGCUGGACUGAGGGGAGGAUCAGCCACACUGGGACUGAGACACGGCCCAGACUCCUACGGGAGGCAGCAGUGGGGAAUAUUGGACAAUGGGGGCAACCCUGAUCCAGCCAUGCCGCGUGAGUGAUGACGGCCUUAGGGUUGUAAAGCUCUUUUCUCCGGGACGAUAAUGACGGUACCGGACGAAUAAGCCCCGGCUAACUUCGUG
This 437-nucleotide ribosomal RNA is filed under the name uncultured bacterium. RNAcentral describes it as "partial 16S ribosomal RNA". It matches the Rfam family "Bacterial small subunit ribosomal RNA", at positions 29 to 507 of the family's 1533-position model. The record is from RNAcentral.